UGCAAAUCAAUAUAAAUUGAUAUUAUUUAUUUAUUAAUUUAUUAUUUAUUAUAUAUUAAUUUUGAAUAUUUGUUAUAUUAAGUAUUAAAAAUAAUUAUAAAGUUUUUAUAGUUUUAGUAAUUAUUAAUGAAAAAAUAAAUUUUAUGAUAGUUAAUUUGUAUUGUGAAAGAUAAUUGAAAUAUAUUGAAAAAUUUAUAAUUAAAAAGAAAAAUUAAGUUUUUGUACCUUGUGUAUCAGGGUUUAUUAAAUAAUUAAUAAUUAUUUAUUAAUUUCGAUUUUAUAAGAGUUAAUAAUUUAUUAAAUUUAAUGUGACAAAAUUAUUUUAAAUUAAUUAUUAGAAAUGAAAUGUUAUUCGUUUAUAAAGUUAUCUAGUUUUUUUAGAAAUAAAUUUAAUUUACAAAUUUUUAAUUUAUUAAUUAUUUUUAUUAAUUAAUAAAAUUGUUAAUUUGAAUAUUUUAGGGGAUAAGCUUUAAAAUAAAUUAUUAUAAAUAAAUAAAAUAUUUUUAAAAUAUAUGCAUAGAAUUAGUAAUUAUUAAUAAGUUUGUUAUAAAAUAUUCAUUUUUUUUUUAUUAUUUAUUAUAUUUUAAUUUUAUAUAAAAAUAUUUUUUGUAAUUUAAUUUGUGAAGUAAUAAUGAUAAAAUUAGUAUAUAUGUAUAAUGUUUUUAUAAUUUUAUAUGUUAAGUUUAUAUAAAGAACUCGGCAAAUUAUAUACUCGCCUGUUUAACAAAAACAUGUCUUUUUGAGUUAAUUUUAAAGUCUAACCUGCCCAAUGAAAAUAAUUUUUAAUGGCCGCAGUAUCCUAACUGUGCAAAGGUAGCAUAAUCAUUAGUCUUUUAAUUGAAGGCUUGUAUGAAUGGUUGGACGAAGUAUAAACUGUUUCAUAUAAAUUUUUUAUAAAAUUUUAUUUUUUGGUAAAAAAGCUAAAAUUUAAUUAAAAGACGAGAAGACCCUAUAAAUCUUUAUAUUUUAUAUUAUUUAAAUUUUAUAGAUUUUUUUUUAUUUAUAAUAAUAUAAAUUAUUUUAUUGGGGUGAUAUUAAAAUUUACAGAACUUUUAAUUUAAAUUAAAUCAUUAAUUUAUGAUUUGUUGAUCCAUUAAUAAUGAUUAUAAGAAUAAGUUACUUUAGGGAUAACAGCGUAAUUUUUUUGGAGAGUUCUUAUCGAUAAAAAAGUUUGCGACCUCGAUGUUGGAUUAAGAGAUAUGCUUAGGGGUAGUUGCUUAAGUAAUGAGUCUGUUCGACUUU
Molecule: ribosomal RNA, 1242 nt
Filed under: Neaspilota albidipennis
Lineage: Eukaryota; Metazoa; Arthropoda; Insecta; Diptera; Tephritidae
Description: partial 16S ribosomal RNA
Source: RNAcentral